This 358-nucleotide transfer RNA is filed under the name uncultured Microcystis sp. RNAcentral describes it as "partial 16S-23S ribosomal RNA intergenic spacer". The stretch from base 133 to 206 matches the Rfam family "tRNA". The record is from RNAcentral. Lineage: Bacteria; Bacillati; Cyanobacteriota; Cyanophyceae; Chroococcales; Microcystaceae.
AAGGGAGACCUAAUUCAGGUAUGGGACGAAAAAAAAGUAGUCGCUACCAAGAAUCAAUCCCAAAAGGUCGGAGCGAGGUAUGAGGCUUUCAAACUAGGUUCUGGGUUCAAACAAGACCUGAAUCAGGAACAAGGGCUAUUAGCUCAGGUGGUUAGAGCGCACCCCUGAUAAGGGUGAGGUCCCUGGUUCGAGUCCAGGAUGGCCCACCUGCACAGGUGGCAAAAACAAGAGAAGCGAGGAAUCAGCACCUUAUCUUAUAUACAUAUAUAAGAGAGAAUGCUGGCUCUGAGUAAAGAGUCCAGAGGAACCUUGAAAACUGCAUAGAGCUAGGUGAAAAAGCCAAAAAAGAAGACCGCAA